CGCCGGCGUUGGCCACCCGCCGCCUGGGUGUGUGCCCCAGUGACCACAGGUGCCCCGGCGUCAGUUCUGGAAGAAACCUGAGAGCAGGGUGGCUUGGGUCGUGGGAGCCAUGGUGAAGACGAACAGUGUCCCUGACGGGAUUUGCCUAAGAGUAUUCAUUAUAAAAAAAACUUUACACUGUUGGACUUGAAGUCCCUAAUAAUGCUACUAUUCUGCAGUUCAAAAAGUGGGUCAGAAAGUUCCAUUGGGAAAAUGCAGAAAAUGAUAAACUUAUUGGAGUUCAUUGUACUAAUGGAAUUAAGAGAACAGGAUGUCUUAUAUGUAGCUUUUGGUGAGGCCCAGGAUCAUCAAAUAGAUGGAUGUGCAUGCUUGAAGAAUCUCAAAACUCGGCCCAUGAGAAGGUGGAAGCAUCAGGAGAGCACUGACCCCACUGAAAUUGAAGUGCAAGACAAGAAGGAGAAAGACUGAUCUUUCCAGAAGAUAAUCAAAGAAUACAUCCUUCAAAUGGAUUUAACUGCAGGAGACAGAGCUUAUUCACGCCAUAUUCUUCACGGGGACUUCCAUUUUCACGUGUAUUCCAAGAAGAUGGUUCAGUUGACUAUUAUAGAGGUAAAAGUAUAAGAGAUAUGGAACAGCACAAAAGAUCAUAUUUUUAACCUACUGAUUACAAUUAUGGUAUGCUUGUAGAUUGCGGAGCUGAAGAGAAAGGGAAUACUCUGAUUUACCAUCAAGAAAAACUGCAAUUGGUGCUGAGCAGUUUGCUUUAAAAACUGCCCACUGUUUAUCUGUAUUUGCCCCUUUUUCAUUGUUACUGGGCCAAAAAUCAUUUCACAACAAAAAAAUAACUUGUAUGUCAAAAGGCAACUUUUGUUAUUAUAAAAUUAGCCAUCAACAUCUUUUAAUUUUUUGUAAGAGUAUUUAUAAAUAUAAGGAAACUAACAAUGUGGAGUACAUAUAAUUAUUGCUUUUUCAAAACUAGAAAUCUAUUUGAUUUCUUGAAGGUCUGUUUUUAGUUAUAUAUGCUAAUGAAUUGCAUUUCUGGUUGCAAACUUUGUAAAAAAAUAAUUUAUGAUUCAUUUAUUCAUUUUACAAAUAAUUAUUGUGUGCAUAUGGUAAGAGAUUGUAGCUUCCACUGAGCAGGUUAAACAACAAAAUCAUAGUGUUUAAAAACCCAUCAUAACUAAAUUCCUGAAAGUGACUAGCUCUUUCAUCCCUGGUAGAGUGACAGGAGAAGGAAAAAGCCAUCCUAGACAGAGAUAAAAGAAACCAGCUGAACUUGAAUUUUUAAAGGUUGCAUGUAGCUUGCAUUAUGGUUCACCUACCAGCUCUUUCCUGUGGGCCUCUCCCCAAGAGCACAGCGGUAGUAUACGGAAAGCUAGAGGCAAGACAGAAGACUGGGAGAAAUCACUCUGAGGUACACAGGAUCUCACUGAGUGCAAGGGAGUAGCUCCCCAAAGGCAGAGGGCAGGGUAAACAGAAAUUUCCUUAGGUACAGGAAACUGACGAAAAAAGAAAC
RNAcentral lists this long non-coding RNA (1516 nucleotides) under Equus asinus (donkey). RNAcentral describes it as "lncRNA (ENSEASG00005030780.1)". The record is from RNAcentral. Lineage: Eukaryota; Metazoa; Chordata; Mammalia; Perissodactyla; Equidae.